CACACCAACCGUGCCACAGAGAGCCUGGUUCUGCAGUGAAAUUAAGCCUCUGCAUCCCUCCACCAUCUAGACCUGAGAACCUGCCCUCUCAACCUACUCAGAUGGAGAAGUCCUAUAGAGAAGAGAGGAGGACCUUGCAAAAACCCCUUGCAUUCCGCCAGGGACCAACAGCUCUAGGAAGUCUACAGGAGCCUUAAGAACAAUUCAGCUCCUCUGGGAGAAGAGCUAAAUUGGCUGGAAGGCAGACACCUCAGUAUUUGAGAAUCUAUCAGCUAUCUGGCUUUUGCAAUGAGCAAGUCAUCCAGUCAAGAAAAACAUCUCCAGGUGUUAAAUCUAUGAGCAUACCAGAGCAUAAUGGAACCAAGCCUGAGGUUGUGCCGAAACAGGAGAUAAUCAGUGUCAUCAUGUAUUAUGGUGUGACACACUUGUUAAUUACCGAGAAUUCAGAAAUAAAGGAAAAGGGCGCUACCAGAGCACUAACAGGAAGUAUCCAUAUUUACAGGACAGGCACUGGUCACCAUGGCUUCCAAAGCAGGAC
Non-coding RNA from Callorhinus ursinus (northern fur seal), 538 nucleotides. The record is from RefSeq and is a predicted model, not a curated record. Lineage: Eukaryota; Metazoa; Chordata; Mammalia; Carnivora; Otariidae.